This 496-nucleotide ribosomal RNA is filed under the name uncultured bacterium. RNAcentral's name for it is "partial 16S ribosomal RNA". It matches the Rfam family "Bacterial small subunit ribosomal RNA", at positions 30 to 523 of the family's 1533-position model. The record is from RNAcentral.
AUUGAACGCUGGCGGAAUGCUUUACACAUGCAAGUCGAACGGUAGAGGGGGCAACCCCUCGAGAGUGGCGAACGGGUGAGUAAUAUAUCGGAACGUGCCCAGUCGUGGGGGAUAACGUAGCGAAAGUUACGCUAAUACCGCAUACGAUCUAAGGAUGAAAGCGGGGGAUUGCAAGACCUCGCGCGAUUGGAGCGGCCGAUAUCAGAUUAGGUAGUUGGUGGGGUAAAGGCUCACCAAGCCAACGAUCUGUAGCUGGUCUGAGAGGACGACCAGCCACACUGGAACUGGGAAACGGUCCAGACUCCUACGGGAGGCAGCAGUGGGGAAUUUUGGACAAUGGACGCAAGUCUGAUCCAGCCAUUCCGCGUGCAGGAUGAAGGCCCUCGGGUUGUAAACUGCUUUUGUACGGAACGAAAAGGUCUCUCUUAAUACGGGGGGCUCAUGACGGUACCGUAAGAAUAAGCACCGGCUAACUACGUGCCAGCCGCCGCAGUAA